CAGUACGGACUCUUUGCAAUGUCAUUUGGUAGGUUUUCCUAAGUUUAUUAAGUUAGCCAAAUUUUUAUUUCGCGGCGAAAUAUCUUUACGUUUGUUUUUUAUCGGAACGCUUUACCUGUCGCUUGAGCCACAGUAUAGACUAGGUAAGAAAUGCUGGAAACGUGAUUUAUCACACAAGGAACUAUCAGGGGCUGGACUUUUGGGGGGAAAAAAUGAUGGCCACCAGCGUCACGCCUGAAGAUGACCAGAGCUGGAUCUCCGCAGAAGGCUCACUGUAGCUCAAGCAUGGACUGUACCUGGGGAACGUCUCCGCUUUUGCUUAUUGCCGAACAUUGCUGGGGCAGCUGUGGUCCUACAACGCGGACCCGACAUGGAAAUGGCCGCCAGUAAUUCUGAAGCAAAGUCUAGGGGCUUCACUGGGUUGGGGACUUGGCGAAAACUCAAGCUUGGUGGGGGGUCGAGGUAAUGAAAGUGAAGCUUCUCCGUAAGAGUUGAAGCCUUUUUAUUAAAAGGGGCAUAAAUUCCAUCAAAUGGCUACUGGUGCCAUUGCACGGAAUGUGAAUCUCUUACGGUUUGGUCACUACGGUUUAAAGCCACUUGCAAUUCAAGAAUCGUGUAUAUGUUUGGGACAAGUGUUGUGCGUUGGCCUAGAAGUUUUCCUUUUGGUUACAGAAUGUGAAGUAUUUUUCAAUAAAGCUUCAAUGUCUUUAUCUUGAGGUACCAUGUCAAAGUAGUACAGCCCAGCCUAUGAACCACCAGUCAAUCUUGACAUGAUCUCCCUUGCUUGGUUUUAGUCUGGUUUCCGUAGGCCGAUAUUAUCCACCAGAUGUCGCUGUAGUUCAAGUAACGCAUUUUGUAAUGGUUGAAAAUAAAACGCCAUAACCGCUUUG
Long non-coding RNA from Paramormyrops kingsleyae, 890 nucleotides. RefSeq lists it as uncharacterized. NCBI's taxonomy places the organism in Eukaryota, Metazoa, Chordata, Actinopteri, Osteoglossiformes, Mormyridae. The record is from RefSeq and is a predicted model, not a curated record.